This 501-nucleotide ribosomal RNA is filed under the name uncultured bacterium. RNAcentral describes it as "partial 16S ribosomal RNA". It matches the Rfam family "Bacterial small subunit ribosomal RNA", at positions 29 to 523 of the family's 1533-position model. The record is from RNAcentral.
AUUGAACGCUGGCGGCAUGCCUUACACAUGCAAGUCGAACGGCAGCACGGGUGCUUGCACCUGGUGGCGAGUGGCGAACGGGUGAGUAAUACAUCGGAACGUACCUUAUCGUGGGGGAUAACGCAGCGAAAGCUGUGCUAAUCCCGCAUACGCCCUGAGGGGGAAAGCGGGGGAUCGCAAGACCCCGCGCGAGUGAUGCGGCCGAUGCCUGAUUAGCUUGUUGGUGGGGUAAAAGCCCACCAAGGCGACGAUCAGUAGCUGGUCUGGGAGGACGAUCAGCCACACUGGGACUGAGACACGGCCCAGACUCCUACGGGAGGCAGCAGUGGGGAAUUUUGGACAAUGGGGGCAACCCUGAUCCAGCAAUGCCGCGUGAGUGAAGAAGGCCUUCGGGUUGUAAAGCUCUUUUGUCAGGGAAGAAACACCGGCUCUAACACAGUCUGGGAAUGACGGUACCUGAAGAAUAAGCACCGGCUAACUACGUGCCAGCCGCCGCCGUAA